UUUUUUUUUUGGUUCCAGAAAGUAAUAGAGAACCAUCUUCUAAAACAUGGAAGUAUUAUUUUCUCAAAUCAUGGAUUUUUUGAUGUCAAAGAAUAUGGGCAAAGAGAUGUAAGAGAUCUUAAGAGGAAUUGCAAAUGGACAGAUAAAAGAAGAGUGUAACAAUCAGUAGAUACAGUCAUGAACCCUAUCAUCCAGAAAAUAAGCCUCAAAGAGGAUGGUUUUUCUCCGUCUGUGAGUAGUAGCAAUUCUGGAAGGGACGUUCUUUUCUUUCCCAAACUUUCUUUUUAACUUUAUAGACCACCAGGGAUUCAUUAGUCCUUCAUUUUGGGGCUGUGGAGAGGAAAAAAGCAAAAAGAUAUAGGCAAAGGUCCUCCAAGAAAGGGACUAUGUAUCUAUGAUGUCAUGAAAUUCCCCCCAUGAAACUAUAUCCUGAGAUUUUCUUCUAUUCUCCAUCCCUUGCUGUGUAGGAAGUUCCAUCUCCCUGUAGAGACUUCCAAUGAGCAGUGGAGUGGGGAAGGUUCUUUUUGGGAGGUUGCCAAGGAUAUUAGAGUGGGAGGAAAAGAUUCUAGUUCUGAUGUAAUUUUCAUUGAGAGAUAUCAUAUCACAAAAUAUUUGUAGAGGGACCUUGAUAUUAUAGUUACAUUCCAAAAAGAACCCCACUCCCAAUUUCUCUCUUCUUUUUUAUCCCUUCUGAAGAUGGAGCACUCUUAGAGACUUGAAAUAAAAACAUGCUUCUAAGAAUCUUGUUGUUCAAGAGGACCCUCUAGGUUUCAUAGUAACUUUUGGAUUAGGCCAUGGUGCUAUCAAAGUCUCCAUUCUGAAAAAUAGCCAUUCACCUUCUUUAAAGAGUGUGCUCUCUUCUAUUUUUAUCUUCCCUUUACUAGUCAUUCACCCAGACUCCUUAGGAAUAAAAUUAUCCCUUAAAAUCAUGAUUCUUUCCAUCUGAGAUUUCUCCUAUCCAUUUGGUGUUUGUCUAGACUGAAAGGUAUUUAUAGAAUCAUAGAUUCAAAGCUGAAAGUGAACUGAAAGGCCUUCUACUCCAACCCCCUCAUUUUACAUGUGAGGAAACUGAGGCUUAGGGAGGAAGGUAGGUUCAUGCAGGAACUUAGCAAGGCUGGAUGAAUGACUAUUCCCUUCAAGUUUGAUCUCUCUAUUAUUUCUGCCUUAUUCUUUGUUUUUUAUGAACACUUCCUGCUUUAUUGUCUCAUCACUCUGCAUCAAAACUUUAAUUCUUUUUAAGGUGGGGUGGGCAAAAUGGGACUUUGAUAGCACUUAAGUAAUUGAUUUAUAUCUUUUACAUAAACAAACCAAAUUUGGAAAGUCUAAACAUUUUUUUCAGAAUUUAUCAUUUAAGGGUUUUACACUUAUUUAAUUUCUGUAAACCUUUACUGUAAAGCAUAUGAACUCUUUGAAUCUUGUUUUAUUUUAUGAAUACACACCUAUAUCUAUAUACAUAUAUACAUACACAUUUGGUUAGGGAAAUAAUUCUCUUUUGACACCUAUCCCCAAUGAAGAAAAAUACAAUAUAAUUUAAAAUAAAAGUAGGAUCUUGUAUCAUCAGUUAACAUGUGACAAUAUGUCAAGGCUAUUCCAGAUAUUGCCAACCUAUACUAUUAAAAUUAUUAAAAUGAUACAUCCAUCAUGUCAUGAGCACAUCUUAACAAAAACCUUUAUAAAAGUAUGUUGUUAGCAUAGAUGACACUGAAAAUAAGGAGUUAUUUUCGAACUUUCAUUAAACUCAGAUACAGUUUUACUUCAUUAUACGUUACUAUUUCUGCAAGAAAGACAUGAUGAGUUUAAGACUAAUUUGGAAGUGACAUUUUCUUUUUCAGUGAGAGUGAAGGCUUUCAAAAGUUUUCAAUAAACAAGAGCAACUUGGUAAAAAAAAAGCUAUCUGUCUAGUAUUUUCAAACUGAAGGGAGGCAGAAGAGAUUUUUAAUGGCACUCUUUCUAUCCACCCGUCUCCACCAUUUUCUUUGACCUGUUCUUGUUUCUGUUUUUGCAGUUUCUAUCACCCUUGACUUUAAUAUUUCUGGCACAUUUUGCAGCUGUAGUAAUAACUUUUCCUCUUCUCUCAAAACUAAUUCCUCAGCAGUAGAAACAAAAGUGACUUAAGAGUAGCUUCCAAAUAGACUGAAAAGUCAACAUAGGCAUGUGCAAAUUUUAUGCAAAUGUAUGCUGCCCAGAUUAUUUUAUACCUCUUAUCUAGCUAAUACACUAGGGAUGGUUUCUAAGACCCCUGAAUUAAACUACACCAGUAUUCCUUAAAAAUCACAGAAAGCUAAAACUCUGAUAUAAUUUAGUCAAAUACCUUCAUUUUAAAGACUGAGGCCCAGAGAGGUUAAAUAAUUUGUUCAAGGUCACAUAGCUUGUUAGUGGCAAAUAUAAGCCAGGCUUUCAGUUUCAACUUUUCCUACUGUUCUAUAAAUUGUAGUUCAGGAUCUUCAGUAACCAUCUCUGCCCUUUACUGCCAUUAUGACCUUGGGCUCGGCUUAACCUCUUCGGACCUCAGUUUCCACAUUCAUGAAAUGAUUGUCCUAGAUGAUGACUUCUGAACAUAAUCUAAGAUCUUAUAACCCUAUCUACUCAAAGAUAGAAAUUCUAGGGUAUUGGGUGGGAAGCGGGAGGCUGCCAUUAGGCAGCAGUCUCUCACAAAAUCCCUCUUACCCUCCUUAAAUCUAAGAACUAAACCCUCGGGAACCAAUCAGGCUGCAAUACUGUACUCACUGGUCUGCUUGGGUACCGAACUGCUGCUGGCGGCAUCUUCUUCCCAGCUUCUCGACCACAUCCCACAGAUGCAGAUGAGCCUAUGAGUUCAGGCAUCUGAGGAAACUGGAUGGAUACAGAAGUGGCCAAGAGUCUCCAGGCAGUGUGACCUUAGCCAGUGGGCGGAUACCAGCCCCUCUGAGGCUCGGGGAAACUUUUCCCCUAGUUCAAAGUGGCACCAGGUCCUAGCGAAUCGGACCGUCAGGCGAUGGGGCUCAAGGGCCUGUGGGGUGGAUACAUGCCAAGAAGGAGGGCAGCCACGUACUGAUCGCGCGGAGGUCAGUGUGGGAGGUAAGGGGUGAGGGGUCCCGUGGCUUGAACUAACGGUAUUCCCUCGCUCCGGACAGCCGCGGAGGGGACAUAGAGACAAAAUGAAGGAAGGAAAGAGAAAAAAGAGAAAGAGAGAAAGAAAGGAGAAAAAAGUAGAAGUAACAAGAAAAGGAAGAAGGCCACCGGCUUAGGGGAGUAGGGCAGGGAGCGUCAGCGCGGAAAUCAAAGUUUGUCUUUCGGUUCCAGCAAAGUUUCCUAGGACCCUCGGGAAGUCAGAGCAGAAAGACCCGUGCUCUUCGCUUUUGCCUCCAGGCCCGUUUUCCUUCCAUCCCCAAAUCUCGCCCCUUCUGGAUCUACUCAGCAGGGGCCCGAGAGAUCUUAGGGGAGCAGAUCUAGGCUUCUGAGACGCUGAUGGCAGGGGGAGGGGAGAGCCAACUGCCCCCCUUCCCAGAGAGGCGCUUAGCUAAAUCCUGGAGGUCCGACAGAAGAUGGAUGCUUAUCUCUGUCUCUGUUUCUCCCUAUCUCUUUCAGUCUGUCAUACAGGCAUACACACACACAUACACACACAGAGACACACACACACGCACGCACGCACGCACAUAAGUGAGGGCCAGAGGGAGAGAAUAGAGCAACUACCCUCUGUUUAAGAAGUGCAUCCGUUGCAACAAGACUCUCACGGUGCCCAGGACCGACUUACCCGCCGGCUGGGUAUUGUCUAGAACAAGAGCAUGUUCAACGGAGGCAGCGACAACAGGAGAAAGAGAAGAGCAGAGGAGAGGAGAGAAUGCUGCCAAAGCAUUUGCAGUUGCAGUCUUUUCUUGUUCUUGUUCUUGUUCUACUCCUCCCCCCCCCACCCCCGCGCUUUUACUCCCCUCCUCCUCCUCCUCCUCCUUCUCUCACCACGUUCUUUGUGUGUCUCUCCCUUUCUUUGGACCGGUUCGGCUUCUAGCCUGACAUCCGAGCGGUUCUGCAGCUCGGGAUCCUUCUUCCUUUAGCCGAUGUUCCCUUUGCUUUGCUUAGCUUUCUUACGGAACCUGGGCCCCUUGCAGGGGCAGCAGCUGCAGGGAAGGCAGCGGCAGCAAGGGCAGCAGUAUUAGCGAGGGCAGCAGCAGCAGCAGAAGGAGGAGGACGAGGAGGAGAACGAAGAGGAGGAGGAGGAAGAAGAAGAAGAGGAGCAGGAGGAGGAGCAAGAGGAGGAGCGCUGACAAAUGAUGCCUUGGAGCCGAACCAGUAGCAAAAGGAGAAAGCACAGAACCAGUCUCCUAGGACACACUGCAGCCUCCUCAUAAUCAUCUUGUAGCUGUCUGUUGUCGUUUGGUUGGCCAUCAAAUUCAAUUCUUCAGAAACUCUGGGGGCUUCGUGAUACAUAGUCAUUGAAAACUGAAAUAAUAUGGAUAUGAAAAAGAUGCCCUUUUGUUUUAGGAAGAAACGAAAGAACCCCAAUUCCACAAGGCAAGUUAGCCCACUCUCUUACUCCUGUUCAGUUCUGGGCCCAGUUCGUUGUACAUUUGCAGUGUCUGUCCAAGAUACAUACUGAUGGACGAGCUCUAUAGUUUGUUCAUCCAAUUGUAUGUCAUAGUCUGGACAAUAGGCAUUCUUCAUCCACUUGGUUUUUCCUGUAUGGAGAUUUAGACCAAACUCUUUUGAGUUACUAUUGAUCUCAUUUAAGAGGCUCUGAAAUGUUCUGAGGCUCCAUGCAAUCAGCCCAAUGUCAUCUGCAAACAAGAACACUUGGAGAAUGUUACCAUCUAUAGGGAAUUCCUCUUUACUUUGGACUCUGCAGCUCUUCUUUGAUUGUUGUAAACAACUAUGGCAAACAUUAUCACUGCUUUAUGCCUUGCUUGAUAUUAAUGACUAGUGGGUCAUCAGACAAGGUUACCUCUGUUAUAUCUUAAAGGAAUCUUGUAUAAUUUGGAUUUUUACAGGGGUAACACCUUGUCAGAGGACAGCCUUUAAGGAGCCAUUUGGCUUUACUAAAUCAAAUAUAUUGAUGGUUUUAAUUUUAAUUAAUAAUAAGCACAGUACAGGAGUAAAAGAUAAGAUAAAACUGUUUUACUUCUAGGUUUAUGUUUUUACUUUUGGAGUCAUUAUAACAGGAUGUAUGCCUGAUUGAUAGCACUUCAAGAUUUUGCCCUCAGCAAUCCCACUGACGGUACAGUGUGAUACAGGGGAAAGAAUCCUGACUUUAGGGUCUCAGAAUUUUAUUUCAAAUCCCUGUUCUGCUAUUAGCCCCAUGUGUACCCUCACUGGGCCUCAGGUCUCUCAUCUGUAAAAUGAGAGGGAUUAUAUUAAUUUUCUUUAAUAUUCCUUAAAACUUUCAAGUUAUGAUUGUAUGACUGCCUUUGGUAAUUUGGAGGCAGAUGGGGGUGGAGAAUUGGUCUGGGAUGAUGAAUAUUAGAGUAUAAAGAUAUGUUUGAAUCUAUAAGUUAUACUUUACUAGUUUUUCCCCAAAUUAGGUAUUGAAUAUACCUAUCUCUCCCCUCCAUGUAGCACCAAGAGGAUAAGUGUUUCCAGACUUUUUUCCUUUUCUUUUGGAAGGAUUUUAUGAAGAGAGACUAACUAUGUGGGAAAAGGAAGGGGUGAUUCUGGGUGAAGAAAGCUUAAUAAAUGGUAUUCUUGACUGAUUUCAGUACUAUAAAGCAGUAUAUGCUGGGCUUGAGGUGAGAAACCCUGGGUUCCAGUCCAGACUGUCAUUUAGUAAUUGUGUAGCAUUUGACAAACCACUUAGUUUUUUUGAAUCUUAGUUUCAUAAUCUGUAAAAGUGAGAAUAAUAGCAUUUGUGUUAUAUACCUCACCUUUUUCACAAAGAGGUCCUGCCUCUAACAUCCUAGCUCUGCAAACCUGGACAAGAUACUAGCCCUCUCUUCAAUACACACAACUCUUAAAUUGCAGAAAAGAUGUCAACCUGCAUUGGUAAAAGUCAUUUCCUCAUCUAGAUAAUUUUUUCUACCUAUGAAAUCACCAGUUCUAAAUCAACUUAAAGAUUAGUUCCCAAACCUAUCCAUGGCAUAGGGGUCCUUGGGAAGAUCAAGUGCAAUAGCAUAUGAAAAGUAUGUGCUAUAUAAAUGGUAUUUUGAAGGCAGAGAUUAAAUGUUUCAUUUUUGUCUUUGAAGUGCCAAUAUUUAGCACUAUAUAAUUAAUAUUAAUAGGUGCUUAAUAAAUGCUCUUUGUGAUGUAUUAACACUAACUUUGUAUAAUCUGAUAGCAUUUUGUGCUCUAUGGCCUAUGUACAUCUGUAUACAAAUACAUAAAAUAUCUAACAUUUAAAUAUAAAUACAUGAUAUGGAAUAUACAUGAAUAACAUGCAAAUAAUAUGCCUAUGUAUACACAUAUACCUAUGGAAAAUAUAAAUCACAUGUGUCUAUACAUAUAGACACAUACACACUAAGCAUACUGAGUGUAGAAAAUAUACCUUUUUUAUCUCCAUAUCAGAAAUUAUGCCUAAAAUGAACUUAAGAGAAUGAGUGAAUUUUAUGGAUAGCCCUUUAAAAUAGUGUGAAGCUAUAGCAACAGAUAAGUUAGAGAAUAAAACUAUUUUUAACAGAAAAGGGCUAAACAAAUGUUAGUUAUUAUUUUAAAGUCUAAGUAAAUAUUUUCUACUUUUUAUCAUUAAAAAGUUAAGCAAAUUUCACUAUAGCUAUAUCAAUAAAUUGAGGUAACUUAUGACCAUCAAAGCAUGCGAUUUUAUAGGAAAGUUAAUGUCCAGUGGUUUGAAUUUAAACUCAUCAAAUAUUUAAGCUGAUUCACAAUUAAUUUCAUAUAUAUUUAUUGAGGAUUUACACGAAGGCUUUGCAUUCCAUUUCCAAACUGAAAGCAAAUGUGUGUGUUUUUUAAAGAGGGUAUUUCCAAGUACAGUAAUAUAAUUGGUUUUUCAAUUGCCUAAAGCACACACACACACACACACACACACACACAUCCUGCCUAAAUCCAAAGUCAAUUCCUCUUGCUUCCCAAAACUUUAGCACAAUUAUAUGUGGUGGUUUAUUUCUUGGAAUGAGGUUCUAACGAAAUAUAAAUUUACACUAGCAAUGGGAGGAGGCAGUGGUAAGAUGAAGGUUGGGUGGCAGUGGAGGGGAAUGGUUACUGGUUUACUUUUCAGAUUUUAUUUUCAUAGUAGCCAGAUCUACACAUAUUGUGGAUAAAUAGACCCAACUAAAACUAUAUGUCAAAGAAACCAGUAUUUCUCCAUUCCCUGGAACUUUUUGUAGUUAGGUAUGUUUCUGGUAAGAAGUGUGAUUUUGUCCUGGUAUACAUUUCAUUUACUUAAAGAUUAAUUCACAGAUUUUCAUCAUGACUUCCUUAGUGUCUAUGUAUUAAAGAAAAAGAAGGCAGAAGACAAGUUAGCCUGGGAGCUCUUUUUGGAAGACAAUCUUAUCCAUAACAGAUACUGAACUUUAAAGAGAACUUUAGCCCUUUUUUGAUGCAGUUUUCUUCAUAUAAAUAAAUACCCAAUAUUUGACAUUCUCUGUUACAUUCAUAUGCCCUAGAGAUAUAAUUAAUUUAAAUAUUUUUUACUCCUCUCAUUUGAAGACUCACAUUCUGAAUUUUGAUUAUGGUCAUACCUCCAUCCUAUCUUGUGACCUUGGUUAUUCCUAUUUGACUCCCAAUUCAAGAAUUAUCUAUUUGUCACAGCUCAAGCAUGUAUUCAGAGAAAUUGAAUAUUAGCCUACAAUUAGGAAAGAUUGUUUAAUGUGUGACUGGGCUUAGAGUAAGUUCUAGUUGAUGUCUUGUUUCUGGUACAUGCUGGCUGUGUGUCCCUGGAAAAGUUUCUUUCUCUCUCAUUGCUCAAUAGUUACUCUCAAUUUGCUGAUCAUGUGGUGGGGAUUUCCAUUUGGCGGAUCCCUAUACCAGAAAAAUCACAGUUCAAGAAGGGUUAAAAUUUUUUUUAGGAAUAAAUAGCUCCUGCAUCCCUUUUAUGCUUGGUAUACUGGAGAUGAAAGUAUAGGUUGGAGAAUCUUUGUCUAGCCUGUUGGGAUCCAGACAUGAACAAAUAUUGGAAAUGUUAAAAAUGUACCCAAAGACUGACUCUUAUGAACAAUAUGCUCAUGUAACAGACUUAUGGAUAUAAUUCUUUUAUUUCUCACAAUUGAUUUCUUGAUCCUUGGAACAAUGUGAAACUAAUCUUAUGUUAUCCUGACCACUCCCUAAGACUUCAGUCCAAAGGUCAAUUGGACCUUGACUUAACCUCCACCUCUUUGAUCUUGUGGUUGUCAACCAAGCCAAUGUUAAAUUCUCUACCAUAUCACAUAUUCAUUAACUACCUCCUGUUCCCUAUUCCAUAAUUCUGCAAUAAAAACUGGAUCCACAUGUGGCCCUCUCUCUUUCCACCAUCAGAGGAGCACGCAGACUGAAUCCCAUGUUGCUGAACCUUUUGUCCUCAUGUCUUUCUUCCUUCCUCAUGUUCCCUCUCUCUUAUCUCUAACCCCCUUCACCCAUUUCCCCACAGUCUUCAAUUUCCCUUUUAGGUGUUUACUCAUGAAAAAGAAUAUUUUGUGACUGCUGGCAGUUACAUAGUCUCUGCAAUUUAACAAACUUAAAUGACUCUUUGGGUGGACAUCAGAGGAUCCCUUUAAUGCUUUUUAUGUACAUGUAUACUUUAUGCUUGGGGCAACUAAGUAGCACAGUCAUAGUCCUAUCUUAAGAAAUUCAAAUCUGACCUCAGACACUGUGUGACCCUGACUAAGUCAUUCAACUCUGUCUCAGUUUCUUCAUCUGUAAAAUGAGCCAGAGAAGGAAAUAGUAAGUUUGUGAAGAAGACCCCAAAUAGAGUCAUAAAGAAUCAGACAUGACCUUAAAACAACUGAACAAUAUUUUAUGCAUGAGUGAAAUUAAAUUGGGAAUAAUUUAGAGUAUAAUCUGAAUCUCAUUCUUCCAAACUCUUUUCCAUACUUCCUUAAAUGCCUUAAACAUGCCUCUUUAAUGAAAAUGAGUUGGUCAUUCUACUUUAUAACUUGUUCCAAGUCUGACUGGUAGUAAAUAGUGGGGAUAAUGAUUUGGACUAUGUCUUAAUUUUCCUCAUCUCUAAAAAUGAAGAGGAUUAUACUUAAUCAGGGGUUCUUCAUCUUUUUUCCCCCUGCUAUGCACUCUUUUGGCAGUCUGGAAAAGUGUCUGGACAUCUCUGAAUAAUGUUUAAAUGCAUAAAAUAAGCCUACAAAGGAAACUGAUCAGGUUGAAAUAGUUAUAGACUUAAAAAUGAAACACCUAUACUAGAUGAUCACUGUCUCUUCAAGUGUAAAUUCCUAUGUUCUUUUCUGAGGUUUCUUUCCCCAAAUGAGAAGAGUGGCUGACUCACAGAAGUAUAUUUUGAUUCCCUUUUGUGAGUAUAGUCCAAAAAUAUUAAACACUUUUUGGAAAUCAAGUACAUGUUUGUGGGUUUGGGGUUUGAGGAUAGGUCCAUCCAGAUUACUUACAGAUUCAAUAAUAUACAGCUGUGGAGUCAUAACUUCUUUGAUUGUGUAACCCUAAUAGGAAAAAGUUUGAUCAUGCACUCCCCAAUCUUAGAAAAUACAUUUAUGUACUACUGUGCAAUACACUAUCUCCAAAACAAUACAAAAAUGAAGUUGUGGAGAGAUUUCUUAGUAAAGAGUACAGAAUCUUCCUUCUCAGAAAUAACUUCCCUAGUUAUGUGGUGGCUUGCAUAGUAGGGGGCAGAUAUUCUAGAGGGAACAGAGUUCCCAGUCAUACCUAUGAAGCUUCUGCUAUGAGUGUCUGAGUAACAGCAAGGUGAUAACUGAUCAAUACUGGGAGGCUGGAAGCUUAUACAAUAGCAGGAGUGGAGGAAUAUUAUAGGAGAGUGGGUGAAAGACAGGUUAGUGUAGAAGUACCACUUGUCUUCCUACCUACUGAUUAUCACUAAUUAGCUAAUCCUUUACUUCUUAGGAUCUUGCUACUGUCUCCUUGUGGUAAUUACUCUCAAAAGGACCUAGUCCCCACUUUGGAAACUAGUGAUGUAGACUUCUGGUGUGGAAACUCCCUCUACUGAUUUAAAGGAACAAUCUGUAAUUUAUAGUCAUAGAGAAUCUUCUAUGUCUAGAGAUAUUUAGGGAUUCACUAAGGUGACAGAAUAUGCUACACAUAGUACUUGAAUCCAUAUCUUCUUGACUCUCAAAUCAUUUAUCUACUUGUUUACUUGUGUCUUAUUCUUUGUGACCACAUGGCUUUCCAUGAGGUUCUCUUGGCAAAUAGAGUGGUUUGUCAUUUCCUUCUCCAGUGGAUUCAGUGGUCAGCUAGGAAAUAUCUGGGGCUGGAUUGCAACUCUGGUCUUCCCUGACUUUGGGCUUAGUGUUCUUAACCACUGGGCCACAGCUUCCUUCAACAUUAUAUUUGUUUCUCAAUUACAGAUUAUAUAUAUAUGUAAAUAUAUAGAUAUAAUUUCAUAUAUUUUAUAUGAAAUUUAUGCAGAAAUCAGAGGGAUUUAGCUAAAAGAAUUAGAAUUUCUCAUUUGAAUAAUAACUAAACAAUACCUUGAAAAUUAUGCAUUCUUGGGACCCAAUUUUAGCUUUUAUCCUUGAGACCUUAUCUCAAAAUGUAGUGAUGUAGUAAAAUACAAUUGAUCUUUUUACCAGAAUUAUUUCUUUUACUCCUCUAUAUAAAAAUGUCGUUUGUCCCUUGUUGCUUUUAAGAAAUGAUUUUCUGCUUUAAUAGACAUACUUUCAUAAUGUCUAUUGUCUGCCCUUGUAGAAACUUUGAAGAAAUUUUUUUUGUGGAAAUCUGUUACUUCAGAUUAUUAUGUGUUAUGUGUGUGUGUGUGUGUGUGUGUGUGUGUGUGUGUGU
Non-coding RNA from Monodelphis domestica (gray short-tailed opossum), 10809 nucleotides. The record is from RefSeq and is a predicted model, not a curated record. Lineage: Eukaryota; Metazoa; Chordata; Mammalia; Didelphimorphia; Didelphidae.